UGGGGAAUUUUGGACAAUGGGCGAAAGCCUGAUCCAGCAAUGCCGCGUGUGUGAAGAAGGCCUUCGGGUUGUAAAGCACUUUUGUCCGGAAAGAAAUCCUUGGCUCUAAUACAGUCGGGGGAUGACGGUACCGGAAGAAUAAGCACCGGCUAACUACGUGCCAGCAGCCGCGGUAAUACGUAGGGUGCAAGCGUUAAUCGGAAUUACUGGGCGUAAAGCGUGCGCAGGCGGUUUGCUAAGACCGAUGUGAAAUCCCCGGGCUCAACCUGGGAACUGCAUUGGUGACUGACAGGCUAGAGUAUGGCAGAGGGGGGUAGAAUUCCACGUGUAGCAGUGAAAUGCGUAGAGAUGUGGAGGAAUACCGAUGGCGAAGGCAGCCCCCUGGGCCAAUACUGACGCUCAUGCACGAAAAGCGUGGGGGAGCAAACAGGAUUAGAUACCCUGGUAGUCCACGCCCUAAACGAUGUCAACUAGUUGUUGGGGAUUCAUUUCCUUAGUAACGUAGCUAACGCGUGAAGUUGACCGCCUGGGGAGUACGGUCGCAAGAUUAAAACUCAAAUGAAUUGACGGGGUCAUAGCUGUUUCCU
RNAcentral lists this ribosomal RNA (587 nucleotides) under uncultured bacterium. Its description in RNAcentral is "partial 16S ribosomal RNA". It matches the Rfam family "Bacterial small subunit ribosomal RNA", at positions 355 to 1375 of the family's 1533-position model. The record is from RNAcentral.